RNAcentral lists this ribosomal RNA (685 nucleotides) under uncultured Hyphomicrobiales bacterium. RNAcentral describes it as "bacterial SSU rRNA". It matches the Rfam family "Bacterial small subunit ribosomal RNA", at positions 202 to 910 of the family's 1533-position model. Lineage: Bacteria; Pseudomonadati; Pseudomonadota; Alphaproteobacteria; Hyphomicrobiales. The record is from RNAcentral.
AAGAUUUAUCGGCUUAAGAUGAGCCCGCGUUGGAUUAGCUGGUUGGUGGGGUAAAGGCCUACCAAGGCGACGAUCCAUAGCUGGUCUGAGAGGAUGAUCAGCCACACUGGGACUGAGACACGGCCCAGACUCCUACGGGAGGCAGCAGUGGGGAAUAUUGGACAAUGGGCGCAAGCCUGAUCCAGCCAUGCCGCGUGAGUGAAGAAGGCCUUAGGGUUGUAAAGCUCUUUCACCGGUGAAGAUAAUGACGGUAGCCGGAGAAGAAGCCCCGGCUAACUUCGUACCAGCAGCCGCGGUAAUACGAAGGGGGCUAGCGUUGUUCGGAUUUACUGGGCGUAAAGCGCGCGUAGGCGGAUAGAUAAGUCAGAGGUGAAAUCCCGGGGCUCAACCCCGGAAUUGCCUUUGAUACUGUUUAUCUUGAGUGCAGAAGAGGUAAGUGGAAUUCCGAGUGUAGAGGUGAAAUUCGUAGAUAUUCGGAGGAACACCAGUGGCGAAGGCGGCUUACUGGUCUGCAACUGACGCUGANGCGCGAAAGCGUGGGGAGCAAACAGGAUUANAUACCCUGGUAGUCCACGCUGUAAACGAUGGAAGCCAGCCGUCGGCAAAUUUAUUUGUCGGUGGCGCAGCUAACGCAUUAAGCUUCCCGCCUGGGGAGUACGGUCGCAAGAUUAAAACUCAAAGGAAU